Molecule: long non-coding RNA, 793 nt
Filed under: Sus scrofa (pig)
Lineage: Eukaryota; Metazoa; Chordata; Mammalia; Artiodactyla; Suidae
Description: lncRNA (ENSSSCG00035039782.1)
Source: RNAcentral
GGGUCCCGGAGGGACCUGUACGGCCGAUGCCCCCGUACUGUGUCGGACUUGGCUCUGCAGAAUGCCUUCGGGGACCGAUGGGGACCCUACUUCACGGAGUACGAUUGGUGUUCCACUUGCUCCUCCUCUUCGGAGUCUGACAACGAGGGCUAUUUCCUAGGCGAGCCCAUCCCCCAGCCCGCCCACCUGCGAUAUGUCACGAGUGACGAGUUACUACACAAAUACAGCUCAUACGGCCUUCCCAAGUCUUCCACGCUAGGAGGCAGGGGACAGUUGCACAGCAGGAAAAGACAAAAGAGCAAAAACUGUAUCAUUUCUUAAUCCAAUGAGGGUCAGGGACCAGGGGAAGAUGGGAGCUAAGAAUGUACAUUCAGAAACUUGCACUGUUUUAAAUUUUAAAGCGCUUUGGGGGUGGGGGGUGGCUCCAGGGAGAGAAGAAAAGAGCACUCUGUUGAUGGAGAUAGGGUGACUGAUUGACUCGAAACCAGAUGCUCCUGUGUGAGGAGGAGGCUCUAUCUAUAACAAAAGGAAGUGGACGAUGGAUUCAGUUUUCUGAGGAUUUCAUGCCAAAAGGGUUGCCCUCAGCAACUGCUCAGCACCUUCGGGGCUUUGAAAUGGGCUCUGUGGACAGCGUUCCCUGUGCAGGACUCCGCCAAGCCUCCUCUGCCGAUUCUCAAGGCAGUUCCAGAUGGCCGCCUUUUGAGGAUCACUUUGUCCAACCCCCACGUGAAUUCCAAGUGCAUAAACAAAACCUCAAAGGGCCUGAGAAGGGUUUUGGAAGUCUUUGCCUUGG